UCCCGUAAAUGAUCUAGAGAACAAUCUAAGAAUUCUAAGGUUUGGAAGCUUGUCCAAGGUUUGCAUUGGAUCCUCUGCCAUUUCAGAUGCGGACAAGGUGAGUUCAAUAAGACUCUGGGGUAACUCAGAUACAAGAAGCUGAUUCUUUAGCUUUCCGACCAAAUACAAACUGCAGAGAUCCUUGUGGUUUAAUAAAGUCUGCAAGUACAGAUCCCAAGGCUGACCUGAUUCAUCAUAUGAUUUCAAUCUCAAAUAUUCAAGAUGUUUCAGGUUCAUAACCCAAUUUGCCACUGUUACCAGCUGUGAGGACAGUGCCUCAUUUUGAGAUGAAACCGAUGUCUUGCACUUCAGUCCUAAUUUGGUAAUCCUGCGCAAA
Molecule: unclassified non-coding RNA, 376 nt
Filed under: Hevea brasiliensis (rubber tree)
Lineage: Eukaryota; Viridiplantae; Streptophyta; Magnoliopsida; Malpighiales; Euphorbiaceae
Source: RNAcentral